GGUUAUAGCUCAGCGGUAGAGCACUCGCCUUACACGUGCAAGGCCCUGGGUUCGAUCCUCAGCACCA
RNAcentral lists this transfer RNA (67 nucleotides) under Marmota monax (woodchuck). RNAcentral's name for it is "tRNA.Val". The record is from RNAcentral. Lineage: Eukaryota; Metazoa; Chordata; Mammalia; Rodentia; Sciuridae.